RNAcentral lists this ribosomal RNA (227 nucleotides) under uncultured bacterium. RNAcentral's name for it is "partial 16S ribosomal RNA". It matches the Rfam family "Bacterial small subunit ribosomal RNA", at positions 27 to 256 of the family's 1533-position model. The record is from RNAcentral.
GGGUAAACGCUGGCGGCGUGCCUAAAACAUGCAAGUCGAACGGGCUUUCACUUUCGGGUGGGGGCCGAGUGGCAGACGGCUGAGUAACGCGUGGAUGACCUACCCGCGAAUGGGGAAUAACUGCCCGAAAGGGUGGCUAAGACCGCAUACGUACCAGACUUCGGUGGCUGGUAGAAAACCGCGAGGUGUUCGUGGCGGGGUCCGCGUCCGAUUAGCUGGGUUGGGGG